GCCUGCCUACGGGACGCAGCAGUGAGGAAUAUUGGUCAAUGGGCUUACGCCUGAACCAGCCAAGUCGCGUGAGGGAAGACUGCCCUAUGGGUUGUAAACCUCUUUUGUCAGGGAGCAACGCCGGCUACGUGUAGCCGGACUGAGAGUACCUGAAGAAAAAGCAUCGGCUAACUCCGUGCCAGCAGCCGCGGUAAUACGGAGGAUGCGAGCGUUAUCCGGAUUUAUUGGGUUUAAAGCGUGCGUAGGCGGAAU
RNAcentral lists this ribosomal RNA (252 nucleotides) under uncultured bacterium. Its description in RNAcentral is "partial 16S ribosomal RNA". It matches the Rfam family "Bacterial small subunit ribosomal RNA", at positions 330 to 581 of the family's 1533-position model. The record is from RNAcentral.